RNAcentral lists this ribosomal RNA (425 nucleotides) under uncultured bacterium. RNAcentral describes it as "bacterial SSU rRNA". It matches the Rfam family "Bacterial small subunit ribosomal RNA", at positions 355 to 796 of the family's 1533-position model. The record is from RNAcentral.
CGAGGAAUAUUGCACAAUGGGCGCAAGCCUGAUGCAGUAACGCCGCGUGAGGGAUGAAGACCUUCGGGUUGUAAACCUCUUUUCAAUUUGACGAGUGAGGACGGUAAAGUUGGAAUCAGUCUCGGCUAACUACGUGCCAGCAGCCGCGGUAAGACGUAGGAGGCGAGCGUUAUCCGGAUUCACUGGGCGUAAAGCGCAUGUAGGCGGUUGGACAAGUCCUGUAUGAAAGCCCCUGGCUCAACUGGGGGAGGUUAUAGGAGACUGUACGACUGGAGGGCAGCAGAGGUCGGUGGAACUCCCGGUGUAGCGGUGGAAUGCGUAGAGAUCGGGAAGAACAUCAGUGGCGAAGGCGACCGACUGGGCUGCAUCUGACGCUGAGAUGCGAAAGUGUGGGGAGCAAACGGGAUUAGAUACCCCCGUAGUCC